Molecule: ribosomal RNA, 395 nt
Filed under: Theloderma bicolor
Lineage: Eukaryota; Metazoa; Chordata; Amphibia; Anura; Rhacophoridae
Description: partial 12S ribosomal RNA
Source: RNAcentral
CACAUGCAAGUCUCAGCACCCCUGUGAAAACGCCCUUUAAACCUUACCAGGUUGAGGAGCUGGCAUCAGGCACAUAAUUCUCGCCCAUAACGCCUAGUCCCACCACACCCCCAAGGGUAUUCAGCAGUGAUAAAGAUUGCCCAUAAGCGCCAGCUUGAAUCAGUUAGAGAAAAGAGAGCCGGCCAACCCGGUGCCAGCCGCCGCGGCUACCCCGUCGGGCUCAAAUUGACAACAAUCGGCGUCAAGCGUGAUUAAAGGAGAUCAAAAUAGAGUUAAAUUUGAACUUAGCUGUGAAAAGCUUGCCCUCAGAGACCCACAAACGAAAGUUACUCUAAUUCACUACCCUUGAACACACGACAGCUCGGAAACAAACUCGGAUUAGAUACCCCACUAUG